UACGUAGGGGGCUAGCGUUGUCCGGAAUCAUUGGGCGUAAAGCGCGCGUAGGCGGCCCGGUAAGUCCGCUGUGAAAGUCAAAGGCUCAACCUUUGAAUGUCAGCGGAUACUGCCGGGCUAGAGUCCGGAAGAGGCGAGUGGAACUCCUGGUGUAGCGGUGGAAUGCGCAGAUAUCAGGAAGAACACCAACGGCGAAGGCAGCUCGCUGGAACGGUACUGACGCUGAGGCGCGAAAGCGUGGGGAGCAAACGGG
This 253-nucleotide ribosomal RNA is filed under the name uncultured bacterium. RNAcentral describes it as "partial 16S ribosomal RNA". It matches the Rfam family "Bacterial small subunit ribosomal RNA", at positions 524 to 776 of the family's 1533-position model. The record is from RNAcentral.